This 134-nucleotide unclassified non-coding RNA is filed under the name Arabidopsis thaliana (thale cress). RNAcentral's name for it is "partial miscellaneous RNA". The record is from RNAcentral. Lineage: Eukaryota; Viridiplantae; Streptophyta; Magnoliopsida; Brassicales; Brassicaceae.
AUUUCCUGUAGAGUAUUCAAUAUCUACGGGAUGAUUCUUUCAUGAUUUUAUUCGUGAGGCGAUAGAUUAUUGCAGGGGCGUUGAGUCGCUUCGUCUAUGUUUAACCAGGCAUAGCGAAUAAGCUCGUGCUAUAU